This is a non-coding RNA of Cricetulus griseus (Chinese hamster), 4222 nucleotides long. Lineage: Eukaryota; Metazoa; Chordata; Mammalia; Rodentia; Cricetidae. The record is from RefSeq and is a predicted model, not a curated record.
CUUGCCCUGGGUUAGUUUAAAAAGAAAAAAAACAAAAACUAAGGCUGACUUCUACUGGGGCAAACUGACCCACCCACAUUACCCAGGAGGCCCCGCGAAUGGACGCUGGUCCCGUAUUUCCCAGAGUUCCCCGCGUCUUUCGCAGGCGUUGAAGACGUCGAAGCUAAAAUGGCGACCGGGACGGGCAAGCACAAGCUGCUGAGUACUGGCCCAACAGAGCCAUGGUCCAUCCGAGAGAAGUUGUGUUUAGCAUCUUCUGUUAUGAGGAGUGGAGAUCAGAACUGGGUGUCAGUUAGCAGAGCAAUCAAGCCUUUUGCAGAACCUGGGCGACCUCCAGACUGGUUUUCUCAGAAACAUUGUGCUUCUCAGUAUUCUGAGCUCUUAGAGACUACUGAGACUCCAAAACGGAAACGGGGUGAAAAAGGAGAAGUGGUAGAAACUGUUGAAGAUGUUAUUGUUCGGAAAUUGACUGCUGAGAGAGUUGAGGAACUAAAGAAAGUGAUAAAGGAAACACAGGAGAGAUACAGGCGGCUAAAAAGAGCUGCAGAACUAAUUGAAGCUGGGCACAUGGAUAACAGACUGGAUGAACUUUGCAGUGACAUUGCCAUGAAAAAGAAAUUGGAGGAGGAAGAGGCUGAAGUAAAAAGGAAGGCUACAGAUGCUGCAUACCAGGCUCGGCAAGCAGUAAAAACACCUCCUCGAAGGCUACCAACUGUGAUGGUCCGAUCGCCUAUAGAUUCUGCCUCCCCAGGAGGUGAUUAUCCACUUGGAGACUUGACUCCAACCACUAUGGAAGAGGCUACCUCUGGGGUAACCCCUGGGACUUUGCCGAGUACCCCAGUCACCUCGUUUCCUGGGAUUCCUGACACCCUUCCUCCAGGCUCUGCACCCUUAGAAGCCCCCAUGACCCCAGUAACAGAUGAUUCACCCCAGAAAAAGAUGCUUGGACAGAAAGCAACUCCACCCCCCUCCCCUCUGCUGUCAGAGCUCUUGAAGAAGGGCAGCCUCCUGCCUACUAGCCCCAGACUGGUAAAUGAGAGUGAGAUGUCUGUGGCUUCUGGCCAUCUGAACAGCACAGGUGUUCUCCUGGAGGUAGGCGGGGUUCUUCCCAUGAUACAUGGUGGGGAGAUACAGCCAACAACCAGUACUGUUGCAGCCUCCCCUGCUGCCUCAGGUGCUCCCACUCUUUCCCGGCUUUUAGAAGCUGGUCCUACACAGUUCACCACUCCUCUUCCUUCCUUCACUACUGUUGCCAGUGAGCCUCCAGUUAAACUUGUGCCACCCCCUGUAGAGUCUGUGUCCCAGGCUACCAUUGUCAUGAUGCCUCCGCUGUCAACACCAUCCUCUGCUCCGGCUGUCUCCACUCCUGAAAGUGUAGCUCCAGUGAAUCAGCCUGACACCUGUGUUCCCCUGGAAGCUGUCGGGGAUCCACAUACUGUGACUGUUUCCAUGGAUAGCAGUGAAAUCUCGAUGAUCAUUAAUUCUAUCAAAGAAGAAUGUUUCCGGUCAGGGGUAGCAGAGGCUCCUGGUGGAUCAAAGGCUCCAAGCAUAGAUGGGAAGGAAGAUUUAGAUCUGGCCGAGAAGAUGGAUAUUGCUGUGUCUUACACAGGUGAAGAGUUGGACUUUGAAACAGUUGGAGACAUCAUUGCCAUCAUUGAGGACAAGGUUGAUGAUCACCCUGAAGUCCUGGAUGUGGCAGCUGUAGAAGCAGCACUGUCAUUCUGUGAAGAAAAUGAUGAUCCGCAGUCCCUGCCUGGCCCUUGGGAGCACCCUAUCCAGCAGGAGCGGGACAAGCCAGUACCUCUUCCAGCACCAGAGAUGACAGUUAAACAAGAGAGGCUAGACUUUGAGGAAGCAGAAAACAAAGGAAUUCAUGAACUGGUAGACAUCAGGGAGUCAGGAGUUGAGAUUAAGGUGGAACCUGCAGAGCCAGAGCCAGGCAUGUCAGGCUCAGAGAUCGUAGCUGGAGCUGGUCCAGUCUCAAGUAUGGAGCCACCAGAACUCAGAAGUCAAGACUUAGAUGAAGAACCUAGAAGUUGUGCAGCUGGAGAGAUUUGUGAAACAGAUGGUUCCAAUGGGAAAGGCGAUGAGAUGCCACUUUCAUCUGUGAAGACAGAGGCAUCCCCUGAAAGCAUGUUGUCUCCAUCACAUGGCUCAAAUCCUAUUGAAGAUCCUUUAGAGGCAGAGACGCAACACAAGUUUGAAUUGUCAGACUCAUUGAAAGAAGAAUCAGGGACUAUUUUUGGAAGCCAGAUAAAGGAUGCUCCAGGUGAGGAGGAGGAAGAAGAUGGAGUCAGUGAAGUAGCUAGCCUAGAGGAGCCUAAGGAAGAGGAUCAAGGAGAAGGCUAUUUGUCUGAAAUGGAUAAUGAACCCCCUGUGGAAGAAAGUGAUGAUGGCUUUAGUAUACAUAAUGCCACUCUACAGUCACACACACUGGCAGACUCUAUCCCAAGCAGCCCUGCCUCUUCACAGUUCUCUGUGUGUAGUGAAGAUCAAGAAGCAAUUCAGGCUCAGAAAAUAUGGAAGAAAGCCAUUAUGCUUGUAUGGAGGGCUGCAGCAAAUCAUAGAUAUGCUAAUGUGUUCCUGCAACCUGUUACAGAUGACAUAGCACCUGGCUACCAUAGCAUUGUGCAGAGACCUAUGGAUUUGUCAACAAUUAAGAAAAACAUUGAAAAUGGACUGAUCCGAAGCACAGCCGAGUUUCAGCGUGACAUUAUGCUGAUGUUUCAGAAUGCUGUUAUGUAUAAUAGCUCAGACCAUGAUGUGUAUCACAUGGCAGUAGAGAUGCAGAGAGAUGUCCUGGAACAGAUCCAGCAAUUCUUGGCCACACAGUUGAUUAUGCAAACAUCUGAGUCUGGAAUCAGUGCUAAAAGUCUUCGGGGGAGAGAUUCUACCCGAAAACAAGAUGCUUCAGAGAAGGACAGUGUCCCCAUGGGCUCUCCUGCCUUCCUUCUCUCUCUCUUUAAAUACAGAAAUGGUCCGGCCCAGCAGAACUGUUCACUAGUUCAUCUUGCCUGUAGACCUGUACCACAAAGAGAACACUGUGAUCUCUAUUCUUUCUUAUUGGCCUGCAACAGUGACUCUGGAUCCUCAUUCAAGUGGCUGGCUAUUGCAAGGCCGGUUAAUAAGAUCUUUUAUCUAUGGAAGACAGCAAAGUUUUGCACAAGAGGAAGGAGCUGGGCUACAGGGAGAGAGCAGCAGAUGGAAAGAAGCCUGAUUGUCCUGAUGUCAUGGAAAACAACUGUCAGGAGGUGCUAGGGAACUAGUGCCAGGGUCAGUCUGCAGGAAAGGCCUUUCUUAUAGGGACCAGCAACUGGACAGGAUGGGGGAACCAGGGGACGCCGCUGUGCCAUUGAAGCAGAUAUGAAAAUGAAGAAGUGAAGCCUCAGAGUUCCCUCUUUGAGCUGAACCUGAAAUAGAAAUAAACAAGAUAUAGCUUGGGCUUGUGGGCUCAGGUCUACACUUGAUCUUAGUCAAAAGGCUGAGAAGCAGUAUGGGCCCAGAAGAGAAGGUUCCUGGGUCAAAUGACAUGAGUUGAGAAAAAUCUCUUUUCAGAGAGUUGGAGUAGCACAGUUGCCCGUUUUAGGGCAAAAAUCAUGGGCUGUGUUAGUGCCCUAAUGUGUAGCUAGAAGAUUGUAGCUUAUUUGUAUUAUCUUGUGAAGUGUACAGACUUUUUAAAAAAAUAAACCUGUGACGUGUGUGUAUAUAACAAAUAGAAGGAAAACUUUGGCCUUUGGUGUGUGUCCUUUGUGUUUGAAAUGUGUUUUCUUCACCAUACCUAAUCAUAUAUGGGGAUAAGAUUGUUAGAGCUGAGAAGUGGUCUUAUAAGCUGUCUGCUGCAACUGAGAAGAGGUGAGUAACCAAGACUGAAUUCAUAAUUGUGUGAAUUAAGUGUGCAAUAAGGGCUAUUGGGGUUUUCUUGAAUGUUUGGGAAACGUUAAGGUUUUCAGGAUCUAGUUCAUAUAUAAUUCCACAGGGAUUAGAGUAUGGACAAAGGUGGCAGAAUAUUGUCAGGAAUGUUUUGUGCCAGGACUGACAGCAAAUGCUAUCAGUAUUUCUAUAGGUAGAACUCUUGUACAAUAUUCUUUUGUUUUUUGAGGUGGAGUCUCUGUAUUUUGACAAGGCUAGAGCUCAAAAUCCUCCAAUUUCAACUUCCCCCGUAGCUUGGAUUACAGGUGCAUGUACCACAUUGGGCUAAGUGAUUUAAAAAAAAAAAAAAAAA